This 72-nucleotide transfer RNA is filed under the name Hoplichthys fasciatus. RNAcentral describes it as "tRNA-Val". It matches the Rfam family "tRNA". Rfam says of the family: Transfer RNA (tRNA) molecules are approximately 80 nucleotides in length. Their secondary structure includes four short double-helical elements and three loops (D, anti-codon, and T loops). The record is from RNAcentral. Lineage: Eukaryota; Metazoa; Chordata; Actinopteri; Perciformes; Hoplichthyidae.
CAGAGCUUAGCUAAGUUAGAAAAGCAUCCCUCUUACACUGGGAAGUCGCUCGUGCAAAUCGAGCCGCCCUGA